GUCAAGCUAAUGACGUUAAUCAAGCGCUUCUUGGGAGGCAACCCAUGAUAGGUAACUCGGUCUUUAAUUUUCUUUUAAUUUCUGCAUUUUAUUAAGUAAUAAAACCAUUGUUGAAUGAAUUUGUCACUACUCUAUCCUUAUCUGUUUGAGUUAAAAUUUUAUGUGUGACUUGAUUUUGAGCAUUUAACUAGAAUGUGCUUGUUAGUUUGUUCUCCAUCUAAGUAGUAACUGUCAACUUACAUUAUUGAUUGCUAUUUGGUUAUAUUAGUUUGCUGAUGAUUUUUGAGG
This 288-nucleotide long non-coding RNA is filed under the name Trifolium pratense (red clover). RNAcentral describes it as "long non-coding RNA (TPRA_LNC002419)". The record is from RNAcentral. Lineage: Eukaryota; Viridiplantae; Streptophyta; Magnoliopsida; Fabales; Fabaceae.